AAGGACUAUUGUUUCCUUGGAGAUUUUUGAAAGAUGUGAAUUGAUCCUCAGACAGCGUUUGCAAAGGAGCGUAAGUACGACUUUGAGACUUGGUUAAAUGUUUUCGAUAUUGAGCUGAAGGUGUUGAAUUAUUGACAACAGCUGUGGAAGUCAAUUUCUUAAGAGGAUUAGAUAGCGUUGAACAUCCUGCUUCAACAGACAUUUUUGAAGAAAGU
Non-coding RNA from Schizosaccharomyces pombe (fission yeast), 215 nucleotides. NCBI's taxonomy places the organism in Eukaryota, Fungi, Ascomycota, Schizosaccharomycetes, Schizosaccharomycetales, Schizosaccharomycetaceae. The record is from the annotation of a GenBank genome assembly.